This 382-nucleotide RNase P RNA is filed under the name Actinomycetota bacterium. RNAcentral describes it as "RNase P RNA component class A". It matches the Rfam family "Bacterial RNase P class A". From Rfam's summary of the family: Ribonuclease P (RNase P) is a ubiquitous endoribonuclease, found in archaea, bacteria and eukarya as well as chloroplasts and mitochondria. Its best characterised activity is the generation of mature 5'-ends of tRNAs by cleaving the 5'-leader elements of precursor-tRNAs. Cellular RNase Ps are ribonucleoproteins. The record is from RNAcentral. Lineage: Bacteria; Bacillati; Actinomycetota.
GGAGCCGGCCGGGUGAUCGCGGCUCGGACUACGAGUCGAGGAAAGUCCGGACUCCCAAGGGCAGGACGCUGGGGAAAUCCCAGGCGGGGCGACCCGCGGAAAGUGCCACAGAAACAAACCGCCUCCGACCUCGGUCGGCGGUAAGGGUGAAAAGGUGAGGUAAGAGCUCACCAGCGCCUCGGGUGACCGGGGCGGCUAGGCAAACCCCGUUCGGAGCAAGGCCACGCAGGAGGUUGGGCUGCCCGCCCGCUUCGGCGAUCGGCAUGCCGGUCGAAGCACCUCCGGGUAGGCCGCUACAGGUGGACGGAAACGUCCGUCGCAGAUAGAUGGUCACCGCCGUCUUCGGACGGUACAGAAUCCGGCUUACAGGCCGGCUCCACAC